Molecule: long non-coding RNA, 951 nt
Organism: Lotus japonicus
Lineage: Eukaryota; Viridiplantae; Streptophyta; Magnoliopsida; Fabales; Fabaceae
Exons: 2
Source: RefSeq, a predicted model, not a curated record
UUCAUUUUCACCUAAACCUAGCAGAAAUCUUAGGGGAUGAAUGAAUGAAGGGCUUGGGAUACUCUUAUUUACAAAUUUCCUCCUCCCAUUUCCGUUUCACCUACCGAUCUGAUUCACUAUUUCUUUCGUUCUGCGAUCUCUGCUCUUUGUUCGUGGUUCUUCUAUUUUCUCUGUGCUAUCAACCUGUUAUGCUUUGAUCUAAAAUUUCGUCCUCUGAACUUGAAUUCAAGCAAACGACAGGUUCCCUUCCUAGCCCUUACUAUCUUUGACUUUAUUUUCUAUAUUUCAACGAUUUACAAUCAAAAUUGAAGAUUUUGUUAAUUUUUGUUGCUAGAUUUCAUGAUAAAAAAAAUUGUGUUUUGGAAUAUGAUAAGAUAGUAAUGUCUCAGAGCAAGUGGAUGAUAACCCUGACUCCAUGGAUGAAAACAAUAUGUCCAAUGGAGUUUAUGAAAUUUCUCCGUUCAGGGCCAUGUGCUUCAGACUUUGAAGAAAAAUCCUGAUCUAUAGCUUUGUGGAAGCCUGAUUCUGUUUAAGAAUAAAAUGGAGCAGUAUAAGUUGUUGGAUUGUAUUGGAACAAACACUCAUUUGGAGACUGAGCAAGAGGUGAAUUCAAUGGAUUGUUAGUUAUGUGGAUGAAAAAAUUAUCAACUCUUUGUAGGUGGUCAAAUCGAAUGGGGGGUUUGAGUUUUGUUGGCGAGGUAUGGUUACUUUUUCUGUUUUAUGUUGUAUUUAGGGGCUAAACUUUUAUUGGCUUUCAAGAUUUUGAUUUAUCAGGGGCAACGCUGCUAUAUCUUUGUUCUAUCCUACUGCAAGACAUGUCAGCUAGAGGUGAAUUCGGUGAUUCUGCACUGUUUGAGAAUCUAUCUUUGUAAAUCAGGGGCAAUGCAAUGUAUGUAGAAAGAUCACAAUUCAGUCUUGGUAUAUUGUUUAUUUGAAUUACAUUGUUGCUGA